AGUCAAAACUAUUGCCAUAAUAUAAAAAUAAAAAUAAACAUUACGCUAUUAAUUCGACAAUGAAUAAUAAUUAAUAAGGCCGAUAUUACAAUGAUUUACGUUUCUUGAAUCCGAAAAUUGUUGUUACUUAGACAAAAAUCGUAUGGAUAUUUAAUAAUUUUAUUGUCUAUACAAUCAUUAAAAACCUAUUUAAAAUACCUAAUUCAUUUUGUUUUAGGUUAUCUAAGUUUUAGAUAUUCCAUUCACUGAUGUCCUACAGAUGUCACCGGUGCGUUUUCGCAUCUACCCAAGUUUUCUCUCACAGGAUGUCACGCAGUAACUGCACCACUGCCUGCCUACACCACAAAUAUUUUAUACGCUUUUUCUGACGGGAUAUCUCAUAUCACCCUACGGUUCGCUUAUCUACUACUGAUGCUCCAUGAGCUGGCUCUUACAAUCAAAUAACUAACAUUAAUGAAAAUAAUUAUAUAUUUUACUUACCAUGA
Long non-coding RNA from Pieris brassicae (large cabbage white), 485 nucleotides. RefSeq lists it as uncharacterized. Lineage: Eukaryota; Metazoa; Arthropoda; Insecta; Lepidoptera; Pieridae. The record is from RefSeq and is a predicted model, not a curated record. The transcript is spliced from 2 exons.